RNAcentral lists this transfer RNA (65 nucleotides) under Menglacris maculata. RNAcentral's name for it is "tRNA-Cys". The record is from RNAcentral. Lineage: Eukaryota; Metazoa; Arthropoda; Insecta; Orthoptera; Acrididae.
GGCCUUAUAUUCAAUGAUGAUUAUAGACUGCAAUUCUGGAGGUGUAAGUUUAAUUACUAAGGCCU